UACGUAGGGUCCGAGCGUUGUCCGGAAUUACUGGGCGUAAAGCGUGCGCAGGCGGUUUUGUAAGUUUGUCGUGAAAGCCCCGGGCUCAACCUGGGAAUUGCGAUGAAGACUGCAAGGCUUGAAUCUGGCAGAGGGGGGUAGAAUUCCACGUGUAGCAGUGAAAUGCGUAGAGAUGUGGAGGAACACCGAUGGCGAAGGCAGCCCCCUGGGUCAAGAUUGACGCUCAUGCACGAAAGCGUGGGGAGCAAACAGG
This 253-nucleotide ribosomal RNA is filed under the name uncultured bacterium. RNAcentral describes it as "partial 16S ribosomal RNA". It matches the Rfam family "Bacterial small subunit ribosomal RNA", at positions 524 to 776 of the family's 1533-position model. The record is from RNAcentral.